UAAAAACCCCGACUUCGGAAGGGGUGUAUUUAUUAGAUACAAAACCAAUGCCCUUCGGGGCUCUUUGGUGAUUCAUGAUAACUAUACGAAUCGCACGGCCUUGCGCCGGCGAUGGUUCAUUCAAAUUUCUUCCCUAUCAACUUUCGAUGUUUGGGUAUUGGCCAAACAUGGUUGCAACGGGUAACGGAGGGUUAGGGCUCGACCCCGGAGAAGGAGCCUGAGAAACGGCUACUACAUCCAAGGAAGGCAGCAGGCGCGCAAAUUACCCAAUCCCGACUCGGGGAGGUAGUGACAAUAAAUACUGAUACAGGGCCCUUUCGGGCCUUGUAAUUGGAAUGAGUACAAUUUAAAUCCCUUAACGAGGAACAAUUGGAGGGCAAGUCUGGUGCCAGCAGCCGCGGUAAUUCCAGCUCCAAUAGCGUAUAUUAAAGUUGUUGUGGUUAAAAAGCUCGUAGUUGAACCUUGGGCCUGGCUGGACUGACCGCCUCACCGAGUGCACUGGUUCGGCAGGGCCUUUCCCUCUGUAGAACCCUAUACAAAUCAAUAGACAUGGCGGGGAAAAGAAAAAAUAUUUCA
This 576-nucleotide ribosomal RNA is filed under the name uncultured eukaryote. RNAcentral's name for it is "SSU rRNA". It matches the Rfam family "Eukaryotic small subunit ribosomal RNA", at positions 174 to 754 of the family's 1831-position model. The record is from RNAcentral.